CGCCGUGCCCUGCGCGCUGCUGCUGGAGCUGGCGGCGGCGCUGGACCCGCACCUGAGGCGGCGGGGGGAGCAGGUGAGGGACAGGUGAGGGUACCUGGGGGUACCUGGGGAUACCUGGGGGUCACCGACGCCGCCGUGCCCUGCGCGCUGCUGCUGGAGCUGGCGGCGGCGCUGGACCCGCACCUGAGGCGGCGGGGAGAGCAGGUGAGGGUACCUGGGGACAGGUGAGGGACAGGUGAGGGUACCUGGGGGUACCUGGGGACAGGUGAGGGACAGGUGAGGGUACCUGGGGGUACCUGGGGGUACCUGGGGACAGGUGAGGGUCACCUGGGGGUAGCUGGGGGUCACUUCAGGAUGUCUCGGGGGUACCUGGGCACACCUCAGGACACCUGAGGGACACCUAGGGGUCACCUAGGGC
Molecule: long non-coding RNA, 418 nt
Filed under: Chloebia gouldiae (Gouldian finch)
Lineage: Eukaryota; Metazoa; Chordata; Aves; Passeriformes; Passeridae
Description: Erythrura gouldiae (Gouldian finch) lncRNA (ENSEGOG00005018690.1)
Source: RNAcentral